CAUAUGGCUGCUAAUUUCUUCGUUUCCAAGCCGCCAGGGGCUGCUGCGAUCGGAUUUUUUCAUCGCGCGGUUGCGCCGAUUGCUGUGAUCGAAUCUUUCCCAUCUCGCGGCCGCGCCACCACCGAGAAGCGGAGAAGUGAAGGGGACGCCGGAGUAGGGAGGCGUCAAUCUACGGACCACAGACACGUUGCCGGACGGCUUAACGCACUGAUGAGCGGCAAAAACAUGAGCGGAAAAAGACAGUAGACAUGAACAGGAAGAAAGCGGAAUUGAUUCAAGCUCUCAACCGUCGAAACAUGAUGCCAGUGCAAACAACGUGCAACCUAGCGAAGGGGAGCAGCCUAAUCCACAAAGGACACAAGCAACGAGUGGCUUCGUUCAUGACCUUUGCGUGCACUUGAAAGGGGCAACACUUAAGGCGAAAAAGAAGAGUCUAAAAGGUGGAUCGAUAGAAGACAAGAGAUAAGGGAGGCCCAUCUUCGCACAAGGAACAAGGCCGAGGAAAGAACCAGACAACAACUGCCAAGCGUGAGCCGCCACUCCCCCCACCCCCGACCGCCGCAGUUAGUUAUAGCUAGGAUUCCCUCGGUCUUGCCUGAAUCAUUUUUACCCCACCACGGUACUAGGCCGGCCCUUUUUCGUUUGAUUUUUCCUUUCACUGUUUCUAAUUGAGAAGAUCGCUCGUGGUGGUUGAUGUACUGGUUUCUUCCGGGUUAUUUUCUUGUUUUUUUUUAUUUUGUUUUUUC
Long non-coding RNA from Triticum aestivum (bread wheat), 746 nucleotides. RefSeq lists it as uncharacterized. The record is from RefSeq and is a predicted model, not a curated record. The transcript has 4 exons. Lineage: Eukaryota; Viridiplantae; Streptophyta; Magnoliopsida; Poales; Poaceae.